GAUUGAAAAAGUUUGGUUUCGGCCCAAAACAAGGCAUUAUUAAUGCCCAAUCU
This 53-nucleotide transfer RNA is filed under the name Perinereis vancaurica. Its description in RNAcentral is "tRNA-Arg". Lineage: Eukaryota; Metazoa; Annelida; Polychaeta; Phyllodocida; Nereididae. The record is from RNAcentral.